RNAcentral lists this transfer RNA (88 nucleotides) under Trialeurodes vaporariorum (greenhouse whitefly). RNAcentral's name for it is "tRNA-Tyr for anticodon GUA". It matches the Rfam family "tRNA". From Rfam's summary of the family: Transfer RNA (tRNA) molecules are approximately 80 nucleotides in length. Their secondary structure includes four short double-helical elements and three loops (D, anti-codon, and T loops). The record is from RNAcentral. Lineage: Eukaryota; Metazoa; Arthropoda; Insecta; Hemiptera; Aleyrodidae.
CCUCUGGUAGCUCAGUUGGUAGAGCGGUGGACUGUAGUGGUACAAAAUAGUAAUCCAUAGGUCGCUGGUUCAAAUCCGGCCCGGAGGA